CCUACGGGAGGCAGCAGUGGGGGAUAUUGCACAAUGGGGGAAACCCUGAUGCAGCGACGCCGCGUGAGUGAAGAAGUAUUUCGGUACGUAAAGCUCUAUCAGCAGGGAAGAAUAAUGACGGUACCUGACUAAGAAGCCCCGGCUAACUACGUGCCAGCAGCCGCGGUAAUACGUAGGGGGCAAGCGUUAUCCGGAUUCACUGGGUGUAAAGGGAGCGUAGACGGCGACGCAAGUCUGGAGUGAAAGCCCGGGGCCCAACCCCGGGACUGCUCUGGAAACUGCGUCGCUGGAGUACGGGAGGGGCG
RNAcentral lists this ribosomal RNA (305 nucleotides) under uncultured bacterium. RNAcentral's name for it is "bacterial SSU rRNA". It matches the Rfam family "Bacterial small subunit ribosomal RNA", at positions 338 to 659 of the family's 1533-position model. The record is from RNAcentral.